GAUUGAACGCUGGCGGCAUGCCUUACACAUGCAAGUCGAACGGUAACAGGUCUUCGGAUGCUGACGAGUGUCGAACGGGUGAGUAAUACAUCGGAACGUGCCCGAUCGUGGGGGAUAACGAGGCGAAAGCGUUGCUAAUACCGCAUACGAUCUACGGAUGAAAGCGGAUGAUCUUCGGACCUCGCGCGGACGGAGCGGCCGAUGGCAGAUUAGGUAGUUGGUGGGAUAAAAGCUUACCAAGCCGACGAUCUGUAGCUGGUCUGAGAGGAUGAUCAGCCACACUGGGACUGAGACACGGCCCAGACUCCUACGGGAGGCAGCAGUGGGGAAUUUUGGACAAUGGGCGAAAGCCUGAUCCAGCCAUGCCGCGUGCAGGAUGAAGGCCUUCGGGUUGUAAACUGCUUUUGUACGGAACGAAAAGCCUCUUUCUAAUAAAGAGGGGUCAUGACGGUACCGUAAGAAUAAGCACCGGCUAACUACGUG
Molecule: ribosomal RNA, 483 nt
Filed under: uncultured bacterium
Lineage: Bacteria
Description: partial 16S ribosomal RNA
Rfam family: Bacterial small subunit ribosomal RNA
Source: RNAcentral